GAUGAACGCUGGCGGCGUGCUUAACACAUGCAAGUCGAACGGAAAGGGCUGGCUUCUGUGGGGAGCGCGAGUGGCGAACGGGUGAGUAACACGUGAGUAGGCUGACCUCGACUGGGGGAGAACUCUAGGAAACGGGGGCUAAUACCGGAUAGGGGCACCUGCGGCCUGGGGGGGGCUGGAAAGUGUCGGCGGUUGGGGAGGGGCACGCGGCUUCUAAGCUGGUUGGUGGGGUAGUGGCUUACCAAGGCAUUGACGGGUAGCCGGCCUGACAGGGUGACCGGCCACCUUGGGACUGAGGUACGGCCCAGCCUCCUACGGCAGGCAGCAGUGGGGAGUAUUGCACCGUGGGCGGCGGCCUGCUGCAGCAGCGCCGCGUGCUGGAUGACGGCCUUCGGGUUGUAGACCGCUUUCGCCUGUGACGAAGAGUGAGUGACGGUAAUGGGUAAAGAAGCACCGGCUAACUCCGUG
RNAcentral lists this ribosomal RNA (468 nucleotides) under uncultured bacterium. RNAcentral describes it as "partial 16S ribosomal RNA". It matches the Rfam family "Bacterial small subunit ribosomal RNA", at positions 28 to 507 of the family's 1533-position model. The record is from RNAcentral.